This 253-nucleotide ribosomal RNA is filed under the name uncultured bacterium. RNAcentral describes it as "partial 16S ribosomal RNA". It matches the Rfam family "Bacterial small subunit ribosomal RNA", at positions 524 to 776 of the family's 1533-position model. The record is from RNAcentral.
UACGUAGGGUGCAAGCGUUGUCCGGAAUUAUUGGGCGUAAAGAGCUUGUAGGCGGUUUGUCGCGUCUGCUGUGAAAUUUCGGGGCUCAACUCCGAGCUUGCAGUGGGUACGGGCAGACUAGAGUGCGGUAGGGGAGACUGGAAUUCCUGGUGUAGCGGUGGAAUGCGCAGAUAUCAGGAGGAACACCGGUGGCGAAGGCGGGUCUCUGGGCCGUUACUGACGCUGAGGAGCGAAAGCGUGGGGAGCGAACAGG